This 497-nucleotide ribosomal RNA is filed under the name uncultured bacterium. RNAcentral's name for it is "partial 16S ribosomal RNA". It matches the Rfam family "Bacterial small subunit ribosomal RNA", at positions 28 to 507 of the family's 1533-position model. The record is from RNAcentral.
GAUGAACGCUGGCGGCGUGCCUAAUACAUGCAAGUCGAGCGAACGGACGAGAAGCUUUCUUCUCUGAUGUUAGCGGCGGACGGGUGAGUAACACGUGGAUAACCUACCUAUAAGACUGGGAUAACUUCGUGAAACCGUAGCUAAUACCGGAUAAUAUUUUGAACCGCAUGGUUCAACAGUGAAAGACGUCCUUGCUGUCACUUAUAGAUGGAUCCGCGCUGCAUUAGCUAGUUGGUAAGGUAACGGCUUACCAAGGCAACGAUGCAUAGCCGACCUGAGAGGGUGACCAGACACACUGGAACUGAGACACGGUCCAGACUCCUACGGGAGGCAGCAGUAGGGAAUCUUGCGCAAUGGGCGAAAGCCUGACGGAGCAACGCCGCGUGAGUGAUGAAGGUCUUCGGAUCGUAAAACUCUGUUAUUAGGGAAGAACAUAUGUGUAAGUAACUGUGCACAUCUUGACGGUACCUAAUCAGAAAGCCCCGGCUAACUACGUG